Molecule: ribosomal RNA, 261 nt
Filed under: uncultured bacterium
Lineage: Bacteria
Description: partial 16S ribosomal RNA
Rfam family: Bacterial small subunit ribosomal RNA
Source: RNAcentral
GAUCCUGGCUCAGGAUGAACGCUAGCUACAGGCUUAACACAUGCAAGUCGAGGGGCAGCAUUUUAGUUUGCUUGCAAACUAAAGAUGGCGACCGGCGCACGGGUGAGUAACACGUAUCCAACCUGCCGAUAACUCGGGGGAUAGCCUUUCGAAAGAAAGAUUAAUAUCCGAUGGUAUAUUAAAACCGCAUGGUUUUACUAUUAAAGAAUUUCGGUUAUCGAUGGGGAUGCGUUCCAUUAGUUUGUUUGGCGGGGUAACGGG